CACGUAGGAGACGAGCGUUAUCCGGAUUUACUGGGCGUAAAGCGCGUGCAGGCGGUUCGGCAAGUUGGAUGUGAAAGCUCCCGGCUUAACUGGGAGAGGUCGUUCAAUACUACCGGACUUGAGAGUGGUAGAGGGAGGUGGAAUUCCGGGUGUAGUGGUGAAAUGCGUAGAUAUCCGGAGGAACACCAGAGGCGAAGGCGACCUCCUGGGUCGCACCUGACGCUCAGAUGCGAAAGCUAGGGGAGCGAACGGGAUUAGAUACCCCGGUAGUCC
Molecule: ribosomal RNA, 273 nt
Filed under: uncultured bacterium
Lineage: Bacteria
Description: partial 16S ribosomal RNA
Rfam family: Bacterial small subunit ribosomal RNA
Source: RNAcentral